GGGGAAAGAAAAUCUUCUCUUGUUUGAGAGUGUGUGUGUGUGUGUGUGUGUGUGUGUGUGUGUGUGUGUGUGUGUGUGUGUGUGUGUGUGUGUGUGUGUGUGUACAUAUGUAACCAAAUGAGGCUGUGACAUGAACUGCCAAACCCCGGACACAGGACUCAUGAAAAUGCUAAUGCUAGCCGGAUUAGCGCCUUGGCUCAGGAAAUAUCCUUCAACUAUUGGUGAUAGCAAAAUACCCCACUGUUCCUUUCUUCCCCUUUGAUUUCCCUUUCAGUCCUGCACGCUAUUCUGGUGACUUUGUUCUUUUGCCUUCAUGUCCUUCUUCCUCCUUUUUUUGUCUUUUUGUCUUUCAUCAGCCAAAUGUUCUCACAUAACAUUUUAAAUGAUACAACAAAUGUCUCCUGUCCACACUGUAAUUCUUCACAUUGAUUUGUAAAAAAUACAUUUUCUUUUAAAUUGUUUUCUCUUUAGUUAGCUGAAUUUACACAAUAGUUUUACAGUGUAUGACACCUUUCUGAUCAAUCAUAUGGGUGACUUUAUUAAGUGGUUGGCCUGAAGAGGCUUAAGCUUGCUUUUGCCUUAUGAUCACUUGUUUUUGUUGUGGAUAACUGAUCACAAUAAAAUGACACCAUCACCUGGUGGUUUUAAAUCGAAAAGCUCUCAACAAGAGUUCAAGGUAUCUGAAACUUUUUUAAUUCACACUUAAGAACAACAUACAUAACAGCCACAUAGAAGGCCAAAAGUAGACGUAGUGAUUUAACACUUAAUUU
This is a long non-coding RNA of Labrus mixtus (cuckoo wrasse), 770 nucleotides long. RefSeq lists it as uncharacterized. Lineage: Eukaryota; Metazoa; Chordata; Actinopteri; Labriformes; Labridae. The record is from RefSeq and is a predicted model, not a curated record. The transcript has 2 exons.